Molecule: long non-coding RNA, 473 nt
Filed under: Zonotrichia albicollis (white-throated sparrow)
Lineage: Eukaryota; Metazoa; Chordata; Aves; Passeriformes; Passerellidae
Description: lncRNA (ENSZALG00000010747.1)
Source: RNAcentral
UUUGGAGGACUCUAACCUUGAUUUUCCAGCUUUGAGCUCCCUCUGGAAGCGCAGCAGCAAAACACUAUCAAGAAACUGCCUCCUGGCUAACAUUCUCAGCAAACCCUCAUGGCUAUUUACGGAAAUGAGCAGCCCAACAAAGCAAGAGAGAUCAUGAUUCACAGAUCGUUUACACAGACCCGGAGACCAACACGUCUUUGGACUGAAAAAGAGGAGCAAUCUGCAGCCUCCAGCCUCACCCAGUUGUGUUAUCAAUCGCACUUACAAAGCCACCACGAACACUGGCAGGAGGCUGACAAUGGAAAGUAAUAGCAGGAAAAAUGGAUUUUUCUCAACAGGUUGAAUACACUGCCAAAAUCCCUUUGCAAUCCACCUGCAGUCUGCAGACUUGCUGUUACAGAGAAGCUGAAGCUAAAUAACCAAAGGUGGACUUUAUAUGCUAAAAAUAAAACAGCCCAUAAGACAAAAAAACA